UUGGAAAGAAGGGAGCUCUAC
Molecule: microRNA, 21 nt
Filed under: Solanum lycopersicum (tomato)
Lineage: Eukaryota; Viridiplantae; Streptophyta; Magnoliopsida; Solanales; Solanaceae
Description: sly-miR159b
Gene: sly-miR159b
Source: miRBase by way of RNAcentral